This 490-nucleotide ribosomal RNA is filed under the name uncultured bacterium. RNAcentral's name for it is "bacterial SSU rRNA". It matches the Rfam family "Bacterial small subunit ribosomal RNA", at positions 23 to 507 of the family's 1533-position model. The record is from RNAcentral.
CUCAGAUUGAACGCUGGCGGCAGGCCUAACACAUGCAAGUCGAGCGGUAGAGAGAAGCUUGCAUCUCUUGAGAGCGGCGGACGGGUGAGUAAUGCCUAGGAAUCUGCCUGGUGGUGGGGGAUAACGUUCGGAAACGGACGCUAAUACCGCAUACGUCCUACGGGAGAAAGCGGGGGGAUCUUCGGACCUCGCGCCAUUAGAUGAGCCUAGGUCGGAUUAGCUAGUUGGUGAGGUAAUGGCUCACCAAGGCGACGAUCCGUAACUGGUCUGAGAGGAUGAUCAGUCACACUGGAACUGAGACACGGUCCAGACUCCUACGGGAGGCAGCAGUGGGGAAUAUUGGACAAUGGGCGAAAGCCUGAUCCAGCCAUGCCGCGUGUGUGAAGAAGGUCUUCGGAUUGUAAAGCACUUUAAGUUGGGAGGAAGGGUAGUAACCUAAUACGUUGCUACUUUGACGUUACCGACAGAAUAAGCACCGGCUAACUUCGUG